CGUCAUAGAGGGUGAGAAUCCCGUCUGUGACCGGUGACCGAUCCCAUGCGAAACCCCUUCGACGAGUCGAGUUGUUUGGGAAUGCAGCUCAAAAUGGGUGGUAAAUUUCAUCUAAAGCUAAAUACUGGCUGGAGACCGAUAGCGCACAAGUAGAGUGAUCGAAAGAUGAAAAGCACUUUGGAAAGAGAGUCAAAAAGUACGUGAAAUUGUUGAAAGGGAAGCGCUUGCAACCAGACCUGUCCGUGGGUGAUCAGCCGCCGUUCUCGGUGGUGCACUCGCCUACGAUCAGGCCAGCAUCGGUUCGGGCGGCCGGACAAAGGCCUUGGGAAUGUAGCUCCUCUCGGGGAGUCUUAUAGCCCUCGGUGCAAUGUGGCCAGCCCGGACCGAGGACCGCGCUUCGGCUAGGAUGCUGGCGUAAUGGUUGUAAGCGACCCGUCUUGAAACACGGACCAAGGAGUCUAACAUCUAUGCGAGUGUUUGGGUGUUAAACCCAUACGCGGAAUGAAAGUGAACGGAGGUGAGAACCCUUUAGGGCGCAUCAUCGACCGAUCCAGAUGUCUUCGGAUGGAUUUGAGUAUGAGCAUAGCUGUUGGGACCCGAAAGAUGGUGAACUAUGCCUGAAUAGGGUGAAGCCAGAGGAAACUCUGGUGGAGGCUCGC
This 659-nucleotide ribosomal RNA is filed under the name Protoparmelia aff. badia A GS-2015. Its description in RNAcentral is "eukaryotic LSU rRNA". It matches the Rfam family "Eukaryotic large subunit ribosomal RNA", at positions 201 to 878 of the family's 3401-position model. Lineage: Eukaryota; Fungi; Ascomycota; Lecanoromycetes; Lecanorales; Parmeliaceae. The record is from RNAcentral.